This is a non-coding RNA of Pteropus alecto (black flying fox), 119 nucleotides long. NCBI's taxonomy places the organism in Eukaryota, Metazoa, Chordata, Mammalia, Chiroptera, Pteropodidae. The record is from Rfam.
GUCUAUGGCCAUGCCACCCUGAACAAGCCCAAUCCCGUCUGACCUUGAAAGCUAAGCAAGGUCAGGCCUGUUUAGUACUUGGAUGGGAGACCACCUAGGAAGACCAGGUGCUGUAGGCG